RNAcentral lists this unclassified non-coding RNA (297 nucleotides) under Hevea brasiliensis (rubber tree). Lineage: Eukaryota; Viridiplantae; Streptophyta; Magnoliopsida; Malpighiales; Euphorbiaceae. The record is from RNAcentral.
AGAAAGAAACAAGAACUAGGUCCAGUAUAAAGAAGCCUCUCAAAGCAAGUUAAGCAAUACAACAAGCCACAUGCAAAAGCAGUAUGGUAAUAAGAUUUGUACAAAGUAAAAUUGCAACAACACCUCGUAUCACAUCUCCACUACAAUAACACAAACCCUUCUACCCAAUCUCCACCACAUCAAGAAUAAGUCUCAGGCUCAACUAGGUGUUACACAUCCAUUUUAGACAUGGAAAACAACAUCCACUACUCCUAUAGCAAUUGUGCAAUGCAUAAAGGAUAAUUUAAAGAUUCAAUG